UUCGAAGUCCGAAGAACUGCCAGAUGACAGUACCAGUUACAUAGACUACAAGAACAUAUUGGUAUGAGCUACAGAUUGGCUUUAUGCCCAAACAUCUUCUGAAGGGUAAACAAAGAUUACCAUCGCACAUCUGCUGGGACUGGAACCAGUGCAGGCUGACUCAGAGAGCUAAUGCUAAUGGGAGGGAACGCUAGCCUCCCUGGAGCUCAUGGCACCAAAGCACAAGCUGGAGUGCUGUAAGUAAAGGAAAUGAUAACAGCCAGGGAGGCUGAGAGGUUUUAAAUAACAAACUCUCAAGAGCUUUAGAGAAGAAGAGAGUAAGCCACCAACAAAGACAGAGAAACGAGCGAAGCUGGAGGUUUUCAAUCCCAUGGCACAUGCCUCUGAAGUGUAAAGGACUGAAUUGCAUGCGUGGAAAGAACAAGCAGUACAUAUGGAGGGCCAGUGUCAGCCUCAUGUACCCCCCCCCCCCCCCCCCCCCCGCACUGUUGUUCAAAGGCGUAAAUCAUAAA
Alosa sapidissima (American shad) is the source of this 512-nucleotide long non-coding RNA. RefSeq lists it as uncharacterized. The transcript is spliced from 3 exons. The record is from RefSeq and is a predicted model, not a curated record. Lineage: Eukaryota; Metazoa; Chordata; Actinopteri; Clupeiformes; Clupeidae.